Perognathus longimembris pacificus (Pacific pocket mouse) is the source of this 561-nucleotide long non-coding RNA. RefSeq lists it as uncharacterized. NCBI's taxonomy places the organism in Eukaryota, Metazoa, Chordata, Mammalia, Rodentia, Heteromyidae. The transcript has 4 exons. The record is from RefSeq and is a predicted model, not a curated record.
GGUAACUAAAUAAAUCUAAAAGGGAUGAAUUGCCAAGUUUCAAAGGGCAGAAACAACCCUGGCUUAAUGACAGGGAAUGAAUGAUUAUUUCUUGGAAGGGGAGGAGAGAAGGUAGAAACUUGGAGUUUGAAACUGGACUCAAGAAGUAUAUAAAGACCAAGAAGCUUUGAAGUUGAACCACUGUCAGGAAAGGACUCUGCACUUGUGGGAGAGACAAUUUAAUACACUACAAAGAUGAAGCUGCUGCUCUUAUGUCUGGGGCUGACCCUGGUCUAUGCCUACCAUGAAAGAGAAAUGGAUGUUGUGGAGAACUUUGAUCCAUCAAAGAUUACAGGGACAUGGAUUACCAUUUUCUUGGCCUCUGACCAAAAGGAAAUGACAGAUGAGAAAUGGAUGUUGUGGAGAACUUUGAUCCAUCAAAGAUUACAGGGAAGUGGUUGACCAUUCUCUUAACCUCUGACCUAAAGGAAAAGAUAGAAAAAAAAUAGUAGUAUGAGAGUUUUCGUGGAAUAUAUUGAUGUCUUGAAUAACUCUUCCCUGUUCUUUAAAUUCUAUACCAUG